CUUGUUGUCUUCCCACUUCAAAGGCUUGGCUAAAGAAGGAGGAGGAGAGUAAUUGAUGAGCCCCCAUGCGUCCAAGAAAUCGAAGACUCGGCGGACUGAGCCGACGUCCGAGACGAGAGUCUUUCGGACGUCGNNGAAUGGGAGCGUCGGCGGACGAGCCCGCCGUCCGAGACGAGAGUCGUGCGGACGUCGGUGUAGGUGAUCUUAGAGGAAGGAUUCCGCCUGAACUGCUUGACGAUGGAGUUUCUGAGGUAGAGGUAGUGCUUAGGAGUAUUGGAAGGGGAGCGAGAAUCGAAGAACUCCGG
Molecule: long non-coding RNA, 305 nt
Filed under: Linum usitatissimum (flax)
Lineage: Eukaryota; Viridiplantae; Streptophyta; Magnoliopsida; Malpighiales; Linaceae
Description: long non-coding RNA (LUSI_LNC005004)
Source: RNAcentral